CAGCACCUCAAGUGGUCAGGAUGAUUAUUGGGCCUAAAGCAUCCGUAGCCUGCUUUGUUAGUUUUCGGUUAAAUCCAUACGCUCAACGUAUGGGCUGCCGGGAAUACUGCAAAGCUAGGGAGUGGGAGAGGUAGACGGUACUCGGUAGGAAGGGGUAAAAUCCUUUGAUCUAUUGAUGACCACCUGUGGCGAAGGCGGUCUACCAGAACACGUCCGACGGUGAGGGAUGAAAGCUGGGGGAACAAACCGGAUUAGAUACCCGAGUAGUCC
Molecule: ribosomal RNA, 270 nt
Filed under: uncultured archaeon
Lineage: Archaea
Description: partial 16S ribosomal RNA
Rfam family: Archaeal small subunit ribosomal RNA
Source: RNAcentral